GGACGAGGUGGGGCCCACCCAUGGGCUGGUCCAGACUUUCUUCUCCACUCACUCCACCAAGAUGGCUUCAAGUCGAGUGAUGCUAUUUUCUGGUUCCAAGCCACUUGGGUCAGAGAAUAUAGAUAAUCAUGGCUAAGCUAGCCUCCAAAGCUGGAAGCUGAAUUGAGUCGAAAAAUAAUGACACGUAUACAAGGUGUGUUUGGAGGAUUGCAGAUGCAGGGACACCGUACUGCUAAAGGAGUGUUGGAAGCUCACUGCAGAAGAUGAUAAAAGCAGACUGAUGCGUAUUACCUGCUGAAAUUGUCAGAGAUGGCUUUGGAUUCCCAGUUCUGUGUGCUCCUGUCUGGCUCCUGAACCCAGCUGGAGAGGUGAGUCUGGUGAAGUACUGAGAGGAAGCUACACAAAAGGCAGCAAGGUAUUAAUAAGUGUACCUAUGAGAUUUUAACCACCUCUGACUGUUCCAUCGAAUGGACAAGUAGCAAUCUCUGUCAGAGCUGCAUUUUAAA
Macaca mulatta (Rhesus monkey) is the source of this 506-nucleotide non-coding RNA. NCBI's taxonomy places the organism in Eukaryota, Metazoa, Chordata, Mammalia, Primates, Cercopithecidae. The record is from RefSeq and is a predicted model, not a curated record.